AUGGCUAUUGUGCAACGAUUUGGGAAACCAGAUUACUUCGUCACGAUGACUUGCAACCCGUACUGGGAGGAAAUAACUUCCAACCUUGCACCCGGGCAGACACCGCAAGACCGCCCAGACCUCGUGGCUAGGGUAUACAAGGCCAAGUUGAGAGAUAUGAAAGAUCUUUUGAUCAAGAAAAAAUACUUUGGCACGGUUGCUGCUUAUGUUCAUGCUACCGAGUUUCAAAAAAGGGGGCUA
Molecule: ribosomal RNA, 240 nt
Filed under: Triticum aestivum (bread wheat)
Lineage: Eukaryota; Viridiplantae; Streptophyta; Magnoliopsida; Poales; Poaceae
Description: partial small subunit ribosomal RNA
Source: RNAcentral